This 254-nucleotide ribosomal RNA is filed under the name uncultured bacterium. RNAcentral's name for it is "partial 16S ribosomal RNA". It matches the Rfam family "Bacterial small subunit ribosomal RNA", at positions 524 to 776 of the family's 1533-position model. The record is from RNAcentral.
UACGUAGGGUGCGAGCGUUGUCCGGAAUUAUUGGGCGUAAAGGGCUCGUAGGCGGUUUGUCGCGUCGGGAGUGAAAUCCACUGGCUUAACUGGUGGCUUGCUUUCGAUACGGGCAGACUGGAGGUAUGCAGGGGAGACUGGAAUUCCUGGUGUAGCGGUGAAAUGCGCAGAUAUCAGGAGGAACACCGGUGGCGAAAGGCGGGUCUCUGGGCCGAUACUGACGCUGAGGAGCGAAAGCGUGGGGAGCGAACAGG